GAUGAAGAACGUAGCGAAAUGCGAUAAGUAAUGUGAAUUGCAGAAUUCAGUGAAUCAUCGAAUCUUUGAACGCACAUUGCGCCCAUUAGUAUUCUAGUGGGCAUGCCUGUUCGAGCGUCAUUUCAACCCUUAAGCCCCUGUUGCUUAGCGUUGGGAGCCUACAGCCUGCUGUAGUUCCUCAAAGUUAGUGGCGGAGUCAGUUCACACUCUAGACGUAGUAAAAUCUUUAUCUCGCCUAUAGAUGAGCUGGCGCCUUGCCGUAAAAACCCCUAAUCUUUUACAAGGUUAACCUCGGAUCAGGUAGGAAUACCCGCUGAACUUAAGCAUAUCAAUAAGCGGAGGA
Molecule: unclassified non-coding RNA, 343 nt
Filed under: soil metagenome
Description: partial contains 5.8S ribosomal RNA, internal transcribed spacer 2, and large subunit ribosomal RNA
Rfam family: 5.8S ribosomal RNA (bases 1-120)
Source: RNAcentral